RNAcentral lists this ribosomal RNA (492 nucleotides) under uncultured bacterium. RNAcentral describes it as "partial 16S ribosomal RNA". It matches the Rfam family "Bacterial small subunit ribosomal RNA", at positions 29 to 507 of the family's 1533-position model. The record is from RNAcentral.
AGUGAACGCUGGCGGUAGGCCUAACACAUGCAAGUCGAACGGCAGCACAGUAAGAGCUUGCUCUUACGGGUGGCGAGUGGCGGACGGGUGAGGAAUACAUCGGAAUCUACUUUUUCGUGGGGGAUAACGUAGGGAAACUUACGAUAAUACCGCAUACGACCUACGGGUGAAAGCAGGGGAUCUUCGGACCUUGCGCGAUUGAAUGCGCCGAUGUCGGAUUAGCUAGUUGGCGGGGUAAAGGCCCACCAAGGCGACGAUCCGUAGCUGGUCUGAGAGGAUGAUCAGCCACACUGGAACUGAGACACGGUCCAGACUCCUACGGGAGGCAGCAGUGGGGAAUAUUGGACAAUGGGCGCAAGCCUGAUCCAGCCAUACCGCGUGGGUGAAGAAGGCCUUCGGGUUGUAAAGCCCUUUUGUUGGGAAAGAAAAGCAUCAGGUUAAUACCCCGCUGUUCUGACGGUACCCAAAGAAUAAGCACCGGCUAACUUCGUG